Molecule: ribosomal RNA, 254 nt
Filed under: uncultured bacterium
Lineage: Bacteria
Description: partial 16S ribosomal RNA
Rfam family: Bacterial small subunit ribosomal RNA
Source: RNAcentral
UACGUAGGGCGCGAGCGUUGUCCGGAUUUAUUGGGCGUAAAGAGCUCGUAGGCGGCUUGUCGCGUCGACUGUGAAAACCCGUGGCUCAACCAUGUGGUCUGCAGUCGAUACGGGCAGGCUAGAAUUCGGUAGGGGAGACUGGAAUUCCUGGUGUAGCGGUGAAAUGCGCAGAUAUCAGGAGGAACACCGGUGGCGAAGGCGGGUCUCUGGGCAAUAACUGACGCUGAGGAGCGAAAGCGUGGGGAGCGAACAGG